This is a long non-coding RNA of Pipistrellus kuhlii (Kuhl's pipistrelle), 792 nucleotides long. RefSeq lists it as uncharacterized. The record is from RefSeq and is a predicted model, not a curated record. NCBI's taxonomy places the organism in Eukaryota, Metazoa, Chordata, Mammalia, Chiroptera, Vespertilionidae. The transcript is spliced from 2 exons.
UCUAAUAUAGAUUACUGUACCUUUUUUUUCUGAGGUAGAGAGUAAUCGAUGAUAACCAUUCAAUAUUCUACUGAUGUCUCAUAAUCUGGAUUAAAAUGGCCAAUUAUUUCAGAGUUACGUUCCAUUUAAUGAACACAGAUGUGUCCAUGGGGCACAAUGCCUGGGGCCUGCUAUACGAUUAUGGGUCCUGUGAUGUUGUUUAAAUUUCUUUUAAGAUCAGAAGAAAUAAAUGCAGGUUUAGGAUGGAAGCACGGAUUCACCUUUACACCAAUGCAGCCCUACAGCAUAAACAAUUAAAAAGUAAAAAGACAUGUAGACAAUGACAGUGUUUCAAGCUUUGCCUUUCUCUGUGAUUUGAACUGUGGCAGACACAAUAGUAAAUGCUUGGCCCACACCCCCUUGGCUUUUAUUUCCUUGAAUUCUCUGCACAUGUUGGCAAAUUGGAAGUGCUGGGAGAUGAAUGUCUCCUGGUAGAAGCUCUCAAGCGAUGGCAAACCAGGAGUUGCUGGGUAAACACCCGGUUUCCUCACUGUCCCGAAGGGUUCCUCAGGUGGGAUUAAAUUCUAGUCGCCAGAGGUAAUUUCCUUGACAACGAGUCUUUGUUCUCUCUCUCUCGCUCCCCCAGUCUCCUGCCUAUGUUUAGAGGAUGAUGGUCCAAAUAAACUAUGAAUCCUUGCCUCAGGACCUGUUUCUAGGGGACUCAGAUUAAGGCACUGGUGUUCUUACCACCUCUCCCUAACCCCAAUAUAAGUAUCUAUUCCUUAUAGAUUUUUGUGAUUUUCUUUUUUUCUU